CGCAAGCCUGACGGAGCAAGACCGCGUGCGGGAUGACGGCCUAAUGGUUGUAAACCGCUUUUCUCUGGGAAGAUGAUGACGGUACCAGAGGAGUCAGCCUCGGCUAACUCCGUGCCAGCAGCCGCGGUAAUACGGAGGAGGCAAGCGUUAUCCGGAAUUAUUGGGCGUAAAGCGUCCGUAGGUGGUUAUUCAAGUCUGCUGUCAAAGCGUGGGGCUUAACUCCAUAGAGGCAGUGGAAACUGGAUGACUUGAGUGCGGUAGGGGUCGAGGGAAUUCCCAGUGUAGCGGUGAAAUGCGUAGAUAUUGGGAAGAACACCAGUGGCGAAAGCGCUCGACUGGGCCUGCACUGACACUGAGGGACGAAAGCUAGGGGAGCG
This 377-nucleotide ribosomal RNA is filed under the name uncultured cyanobacterium. Its description in RNAcentral is "bacterial SSU rRNA". It matches the Rfam family "Bacterial small subunit ribosomal RNA", at positions 376 to 770 of the family's 1533-position model. The record is from RNAcentral. Lineage: Bacteria; Bacillati; Cyanobacteriota.